RNAcentral lists this ribosomal RNA (1129 nucleotides) under uncultured bacterium. Its description in RNAcentral is "bacterial SSU rRNA". It matches the Rfam family "Bacterial small subunit ribosomal RNA", at positions 158 to 1294 of the family's 1533-position model. The record is from RNAcentral.
GACGACUAAUACCCCAUAGCAUCACUUUAAGGCAUCUUUUAGUGAUUAAAGAACUUCGGAUAAGGAUAGGCUCGCGUGACAUUAGCUAGAUGGCGGGGUAACGGCCCACCAUGGCGACGAUGUCUAGGGGUUCUGAGAGGAAGGUCCCCCACACUGGAACUGAGACACGGUCCAGACUCCUACGGGAGGCAGCAGUGAGGAAUAUUGGUCAAUGGUCGAGAGACUGAACCAGCCAUGCCGCGUGAAGGUCACGGCCCUAUGGGUCUUAAACUUCUUUUGUAAGGGAGCAAUAAGGUUCACGUGUGGACUGAUGAGAGUACCUUACGAAUAAGCAUCGGCUAACUCCGUGCCAGCAGCCGCGGUAAUGCGGGGGAUGCAAGCGUUAUCCGGAUUUAUUGGGUUUAAAGGGUGCGUAGGCGGCCUGUUAAGUCAGCGGUGAAAUUCAGGGGCUCAACCUCUGCCGUGCCGUUGAUACUGGCAAGCUGGAAUGCGGAUGCCGUUGGAGGAAUGUGUGGUGUAGCGGUGAAAUGCAUAGAUAUCACACAGAACACCGAUUGCGAAGGCAUCUGACGAAUCCGCAAUUGACGCUGAUGCACGAAAGCGUGGGGAUCAAACAGGAUUAGAUACCCUGGUAGUCCACGCUGUAAACGAUGAUGACUAACCGUCGGCGAUACACUGUCGGUGGCCAAGCGAAAGCGAUAAGUCAUCCACCUGGGGAGUACGACCGCAAGGUUGAAACUCAAAGGAAUUGACGGGGGCCCGCACAAGCGGAGGAACAUGUGGUUUAAUUCGAUGAUACGCGAGGAACCUUACCCGGGCUCGAACGGCAGGGGAAUCACUCAGAGAUGGGUGAGUCUUCGGACUCCUGUCGAGGUGCUGCAUGGUUGUCGUCAGCUCGUGCUGUGAAGUGUCGGCUUAAGUGCCAUAACGAGCGCAACCCUUGCCGUCAGUUGCCAUCAGGUAAAGCUGGGGACUCUGGCGGGACUGCCACCGCAAGGUGUGAGGAAGGGGGGGAUGACGUCAAAUCAGCACGGCCCUUACGUCCGGGGCGACACACGUGUUACAAUGGUGGGUACAGAGGGAUGCUACCAGGCGACUGGAUGCGGAUCUCGAAAACCCAUCCCAGUUC